Molecule: ribosomal RNA, 450 nt
Filed under: uncultured bacterium
Lineage: Bacteria
Description: bacterial SSU rRNA
Rfam family: Bacterial small subunit ribosomal RNA
Source: RNAcentral
AUGAACGCUGGCGACGUGGAUAAGGCAUGCAAGUCAAGGGGGCCCGCAAGGGCAACCGGCAGACGAGGUAGUAAUACGUAGGUACGAACCUUUUAGUUGGGUAUAGCUCGUCGAAAGACGGGGUAAUCCCCAAUAGUUCCCUUCGGGGUAAAGUCGCAAGACGCUAAGAGAUCGGCCUGCGGGGUAUCAGCUAGUUGGUAAGGUAACGGCUUACCAAGGCUAUGACGCCUAGGGGAGGUGAGAGCCUGACCCCCACCGAUGGUACUGAGAUACGGACCAUACACCUACGGGUGGCUGCAGUCGAGAAUCUUCCACAAUGGGCGAAAGCCUGAUGGAGCGACGUCGCGUGAUUGAUGAAGUCCCACUGGGAUGUAAAAAUCUUUUAUAGAGGAGAAAGCUCCGUUUGCGGAGUGUGAUAGUACUCUAUGAAUAAGGGGUUGCUAAACUCGU